GUGCUUGAAAUCCGGCGUUGGAACACCGAUAUUCGAUGUGUUCCCGCAAGGGGACUAUGGACAUAAACGCGCGUGUAAUAAGCGGCUCGGACCCGGGGGCGGUACCCGGCGGCUCCACCAGAUACCCUGUCAUUUGCAGGAACAUGGGGCCGAAACAGGAUCGACGAACGUCUAAAGACGUCUGCUUUGUCUCGGUGAGAUACCACCGUUAUCGGUUCAAAUAGUAUAGUUGCAAAUGACAACCAUGCUCCGGUCGCAAUGGCUGCGUAAGCAGUCGGAGUUACCGAAACUUAAGCCCUGAGGCCUAGCAGCGUCAGGCGGGGUUCGCAGGCACCUGGCAACAGAAGCCUGCAUU
This 355-nucleotide transfer-messenger RNA is filed under the name Marivita hallyeonensis. Its description in RNAcentral is "Marivita sp. DPG-28 Alphaproteobacteria transfer-messenger RNA". It matches the Rfam family "Alphaproteobacteria transfer-messenger RNA". Rfam says of the family: Bacterial tmRNA, also known as 10Sa RNA or SsrA, is named for its dual tRNA and mRNA-like properties. Its role is to liberate the mRNA from a stalled ribosome. Lineage: Bacteria; Pseudomonadati; Pseudomonadota; Alphaproteobacteria; Rhodobacterales; Roseobacteraceae. The record is from Rfam by way of RNAcentral.